Molecule: ribosomal RNA, 301 nt
Filed under: uncultured bacterium
Lineage: Bacteria
Description: partial 16S ribosomal RNA
Rfam family: Archaeal small subunit ribosomal RNA
Source: RNAcentral
CAGUCGCCGCGGUAAAACCAGCACCUCGAGUGGUCAGGAGGUUUAUUGGGCCUAAAGCAUCCGUAGCCGGUUGCAUAAGUUUUCGGUUAAAUCUAUGCGCUUAACGUAUAGGCCGCCGAAAAUACUGUGCAGCUAGGGAGUGGGAGAGGUACACGGUACUCGAUAGGAAGGGGUAAAAUCCUUUGAUCUAUUGAUGACCACCUGUGGCGAAGGCGGUGUACCAGAACACGUUCGACGGUAAGGGAUGAAAGCUGGGGGAGCAAACCGGAUUAGAUACCCGCGUAGUCCCUGUCUCUUAUAA